RNAcentral lists this ribosomal RNA (484 nucleotides) under uncultured bacterium. Its description in RNAcentral is "partial 16S ribosomal RNA". It matches the Rfam family "Bacterial small subunit ribosomal RNA", at positions 30 to 507 of the family's 1533-position model. The record is from RNAcentral.
AUUGAACGCUGGCGGCAGGCCUAACACAUGCAAGUCGAGCGGAUGAAGGGAGCUUGCUCCUGGAUUCAGCGGCGGACGGGUGAGUAAUGCCUAGGAAUCUGCCUGGUAGUGGGGGAUAACGUCCGGAAACGGGCGCUAAUACCGCAUACGUCCUGAGGGAGAAAGUGGGGGAUCUUCGGACUUCACGCUAUCAGAUGAGCCUAGGUCGGAUUAGCUAGUUGGUGGGGUAAAGGCCUACCAAGGCGACGAUCCGUAACUGGUCUGAGAGGAUGAUCAGUCACACUGGAACUGAGACACGGUCCAGACUCCUACGGGAGGCAGCAGUGGGGAAUAUUGGACAAUGGGCGAAAGCCUGAUCCAGCCAUGCCGCGUGUGUGAAGAAGGUCUUCGGAUUGUAAAGCACUUUAAGUUGGAAGGAAGGGCAGUAAGUUAAUACCUUGCUGUUUUGACGUUACCAACAGAAUAAGCACCGGCUAACUUCGUG